This is a long non-coding RNA of Oxyura jamaicensis (ruddy duck), 341 nucleotides long. RefSeq lists it as uncharacterized. The transcript is spliced from 2 exons. The record is from RefSeq and is a predicted model, not a curated record. NCBI's taxonomy places the organism in Eukaryota, Metazoa, Chordata, Aves, Anseriformes, Anatidae.
CACUGAGAUGAUACAUGUUUUAUUUUAGAAGUCUGCUGCUAGUUUACUUGGUAUAUUUGCAAUUCAGUCACUAGUGAUUACACAACAAAGUAAUGACAUAAAAGCCUCUGUGUUUCUAUUUGCCUAUCUACAAGUAAUUGGGUACAAUUUUCCACGUUUCCUUGGCAGCAAUCCAAUAAAAUGCUUGGCAGCCAUCUAAUAAAAUGCAGUUUACAACAGCACCAUCUGUUUCUAUCAGUCCAGAAACAGCUGUUUCAUUCCAAUUAAUGCCUUUAGGCACUCUUCUGUCUCCUUCCCAACAUCAGUAUUUCAUAGUUUGCAUUGCAUUUGUGCUCUGACAG